Molecule: long non-coding RNA, 932 nt
Filed under: Gallus gallus (chicken)
Lineage: Eukaryota; Metazoa; Chordata; Aves; Galliformes; Phasianidae
Source: RNAcentral
CUCCCACUGAGAGGCUGCAGGAGAGGUGUAACCCUCCUAUACCUCUUCAAACUGAGGGGCAAAGGCCUUGCUGAUCAUUUUCUACUUCCUAUACUGAUUUUAGCUUUCUUCAUCUCACACUUGUCUUACCAGUAGACUGUGACUAUUAGAGAAUUUACACUAGAAGACAUUACCCAUAUAGAAAAGAUUUUGUCUAAAUCUUCCCUCCCAGCACAUGACUUUUCCUUUUAAGUAAUCUGUUAAAGCAAAAAAGAAAAACAAAAUCAAAACAAACAAACAACUCACUUUCCCCACCAAACGUUUGGUCUGUCCAAUUUUUUCUGUAUUAUCCUGUUAAAAACAGCCUCCAAAUCAAUGUAACAGUCAUCAUCGGUCUUCAGCAACAAAUCAAAACUUGUUGUUUCAACUGUCCAUCGGUAGAAGUUCAGCAGUUUAGAUGGAACAUUUCUGUAAGUGUCAAUAACAUCUACAAAAACAAUGUCAUCAUAGGUACUGCUUUCUUCCUUCAGUAAAGUAUCUUCCUUUUCAAGACUUUUUAUGUGACUUGUAAACCUUUCUGGGCGAGUAUGGAGGCUUUUUAAAAGAGCAUCACCUUCCUGAAUAGUGUAGAUGAAACCACCUGCUAUCCCCUCCACACCUUCUGUGAGUUCAUGUGGCAACAGCCCUUCCCCUGCUGUAAUGACUCUGAAAACACCCCCUCCGUCAUUCACCAUCACUUUGUGAAGGUUUCUUGAAACAAGGCCCUGAAGAUCCUGGCUCUCCCAUACAAUGGUGCCUUCAAAACUCUCUGGCAAAAUGAACUGCUCCACUGGCUUGUACCACAGUCUGUUCACUUGCACUCCACAGCUUGGUGGGCUAAAGCGCGCACUGAAGAGAGCUUCCUCAUGUUCUGCCUGGUACAAUUUGACAGUGAUGUUCCUCUGGAAUCCCAC